RNAcentral lists this ribosomal RNA (471 nucleotides) under uncultured bacterium. Its description in RNAcentral is "bacterial SSU rRNA". It matches the Rfam family "Bacterial small subunit ribosomal RNA", at positions 63 to 507 of the family's 1533-position model. The record is from RNAcentral.
CGCACGAGAACGUUUCAGCUUGCUGAAACUAGUAAAGUGGCGAACGGGUGAGUAACGCGUGGGUAAUCUACCUCCGAAUUGGGGAUAACAUUGCGAAAGCGAUGCUAAUACCGAAUGACAUCUCAAUCACUCCGGUUUUUGAGAUCAAAGGUGGCCUCUCCAUGGAAGCUACUGUUUGGAGAUGAGCCCGCGUACCAUUAGCUUGUUGGUAGGGUAAUGGCCUACCAAGGCGACGAUGGUUAGCUGGUCUGAGAGGAUGAUCAGCCACACUGGAACUGACACACGGUCCAGACUCCUACGGGAGGCAGCAGUGAGGAAUUUUGCGCAAUGGGGAAACCCUGACGCAGCAACGCCGCGUGAGUGAUGAAGGCUCUCGGGUCGUAAAGCUCUGUCAAGUGAGAAGAACCUGCCUUUUGCUAAUAUCACUGGGCACUGACGGUAUCACUGAAGGAAGCACCGGCUAACUCCGUG